CGGGACUGGAACCGGCACUUGGCACCCCUUACGCCUUACGGUGGCCGCUGCGCCCAGUCACAUCUGAGCGGAGAAUUUAAUAGGCAAGAAAGAAGGAAGAAGGCUGAAGGAAGAAGCUCCCCACUACAGAGACAGACGGAGGGGGCUCCCAAGACGAAAGAGGAGACCCCCAUUCUAGAUGUUCUUAACCCUUUGAGGGCAAAGCUCUCCGUUUAAUGCCUUGCACAUAUCAGGUUGCCAACAACAUGGUGUGGUUUAUCAAUUGUGAUAGGUUACUUAUUCGAGCCCCUGUUUACAAGAGUUUUAGUUUUGCAGGCUGAGAAGUACUAUGUUAAGAAAGAUUUUGAGGUUGUCCUCAUUCUACUGGAAGGAGUAUCAUUUGAUUUGUGAUGUCUGCCAUAGUUGGAAAGAAUUGGUGACCUGUUUAGGUCUCACUCUGUUGCCCUGGCUGGAGUGCAUUGACAGGAUCAUGGCUCACUGCAGCCUCAACCUCCCAGCUCAAGCAAUCCUCCUGCCUCAGCCUCCCAAGUAGCUAGGAUUAUAGGCAGGCACCACCACACCUGGUUAAUUUUUAAAUUUUUUGUAGAGAUGGGGUCUUCAACUCCUGGCCUUAAGCAAUCCUCCCACCUUAGCCUUUCAUAGUGCAAGGAUUACAUGUAUGGGCCACUAGGCCCAGCCGCUACCUGUGCUUUUUAACUGAUUAACUUUAGACAUCAUCUGUUUACUCCCUUUUUGUAAAAUAUGAAGAUGUAUUUCAAUUACAUUACUCUCUUUCCCUCUUCCAUAUUCCUACCAAUAUUUGAUAAUCGUAAUAUUUUGUUUUUCUCUUGGUUUUUUUUUUGGAGAUGGAGUCUUGCUCUAUUGCCAAGGCUGGAGUAUAGUGAUGUGAUCUUGGCUCACUGCAGCCUCCAUCUUCUGGUUCAAGCAAUUCUCCUGCCUCAGCCUCCUGAGUAGCUGGGACUCCAGGUGUGCAUCACCACACCUGGCUAAUUUUUGUAUUUUUAGUGGAGAUGGGUUUCACCAUGUUGGUCAGGCUAGUUUUGGACUCCUGGCCUCAAGUAAUCUUCCUGCCUCAGCCUUCCAAAGUGCUGGGUUUAUAGGCAUGAGCCACCGUGUCCAGCCUCUUGGUUGUUCUUACAUUAAUCAGCUUUUGCUACAUAGCAGUCACAAUCUUCUGUCUAUAAUUGGCUAGAUUAUAGUAUGUUAGAUAAAUAUUAGGCAAAUAUUCACUUUUUUCCCCUUUACCCACCUUUAUGGAAAAAGCAUACUUUCUCCCAUGAUUAUUGAUGUUGGAUUUGGGUCUUACGAUUUGUGUAAAGUUAAUUUUUCCUGUCUUUCGUUUAUAAGAAGGGCUCUAAUUAAUAAAGAUGCUAGUUUCUAUAAAAGGGAAACCUGAAGAUCUUAAUGUCAACAAAAUAGCCGUGUAUUUUUUCACUCCUUUAACUGUCCACUGAAGGUGUUCUUAGCAGGCGGCUUUCCUUCAUGUGAUGAUUCAGUGACCCUAAUUCCUUCUGUUUUAUAGUUAUACCAUCCUUAAAAUGCCCUGUGAUUCUCUGUCUCUUGUAAUGGAAGGGGAAGAGAGAAUGGAGAAGGCACUUCUUAAUUGCCGUAGCAAGGAAAUGACAGAUUACUUCCUACAUUCAUUGGCUAAAACUAGACACAUGGUCUUGCCUAGACAUAAAGGGUCUGAGAGAUGAAGUUUUGCCACAAAGGAGGCCUAUCCUUUUAUUACUAUUUUUGGCUGAAGGUAAAUACUAGGGUCCUUGUAUUUGCUGUGGACAGAGAUGGAAGAAAACGGUGGAUUUGUUUAGUAUAGUUUUCUUGUAUUCAGAUCUUUAGUUAAUCUCUAUUCCUAGCUAACCUUCUCACUCUUUCCUUAAUGUUCCUUAGAGAUAGUUCCUCAGGUGCACUGAACCCAGAAUCUCUAAGGUUUCAGUGCACAGGACAGCUUUUAUCUCAAUUGCAGCUUCCUCCUAGUGAUGGUGGCGGCUCAUCUGGAGCAGCUGCUGCGGUGAAGGCCGCUGCAGUAGGAGGGGGUGCACCUGGGGCUGUGCCCUCUGUGGAGCCCGUAGGGGGUGGGAACAGGUGAUCCCAGUGGAAGCCUCACACUCUACCAAAUUGGUGGGGCAGGAGCCUGCACUUCUAGGUGCAGCUGUAACCACCCAGCCAUGGCUCCAGACCUGGGCAUCCCUGUGCUCUCUGGGGCCCAGGGAGCCUCUUGCCCCCGCAAGUUCGGAAGUGCCUGCUCCCACUCUCCCUGGCCUCUCCCUGCUCUCAGUUUCCACUCUGGUGUGGAGCAAAGUUAUAGCUUAGCCCAGGCACUGUCGUGACCCAGCCAGGUGUGUGCAUGCCUGGGGCAACACUGACACACCAACUCCCACUGCCGCCUUGAGCACUGAUGAGCUCAGAGGGAGCUGAAACUCUGAAACUUUGGGCACUGAUGAACUCAAGAGGGAGACCGGGGGUGCUGAGGGCAGCUUGGUGUGGGCCUGUGGGCUCCCCUCAGCAUGGACAGCCUGGGCACAAAUGGCAUGUUGAUGGCAACAGGAGGCAGACAGAUUCCUAGGUGGGAAGGGGCAGGUCCUUGGUGAAACCCCGUCUUGAAGCCAGGGAUGGCCUGAAGCCUGGGGGCCAGGCUGCCAAUUACGGGUGGAGUCCGCGGCCCAGAGUGAGAACUUACGGUGCUUUUUCCAUGCCUGCCCAUGGCUACCCAUGGAUCAAUCAGCAUGCACUUCCUCCCUUCUGAGCCCAUAAAAACCCUAGACUCAUGCAGACUCAGAUACUCUUCAGGAUGACCUGCCAGUGGAAAGGAGC
Molecule: long non-coding RNA, 2814 nt
Filed under: Homo sapiens (human)
Lineage: Eukaryota; Metazoa; Chordata; Mammalia; Primates; Hominidae
Description: HSALNT0376507
Source: RNAcentral